GGGCUCGUAGUCUAGUUUGGUCAGGACCCGAGCUUAAGAAGCUUGAAACCCCGGUUCAAAUCCGGGCGAGCCCA
RNAcentral lists this transfer RNA (74 nucleotides) under Candidatus Aenigmatarchaeota archaeon. RNAcentral describes it as "tRNA-Leu". It matches the Rfam family "tRNA". Rfam says of the family: Transfer RNA (tRNA) molecules are approximately 80 nucleotides in length. Lineage: Archaea; Nanobdellati; Candidatus Aenigmatarchaeota. The record is from RNAcentral.